RNAcentral lists this ribosomal RNA (433 nucleotides) under uncultured bacterium. RNAcentral describes it as "partial 16S ribosomal RNA". It matches the Rfam family "Bacterial small subunit ribosomal RNA", at positions 29 to 507 of the family's 1533-position model. The record is from RNAcentral.
AACGAACGCUGGCGGCAUGCCUAACACAUGCAAGUCGAACGAGACCUUCGGGUCUAGUGGCGCACGGGUGCGUAACGCGUGGGAACCUGCCCUUAGGUUCGGAAUAACUCCCCGAAAGGGGUGCUAAUACCGGAUAAUGUCUUCGGACCAAAGAUUUAUCGCCUUUGGAUGGGCCCGCGUUGGAUUAGCUAGUUGGUAGGGUAAAAGCCUACCAAGGCGACGAUCCAUAGCUGGUCUGAGAGGAUGAUCAGCCACACUGGGACUGAGACACGGCCCAGACUCCUACGGGAGGCAGCAGUGGGGAAUAUUGGACAAUGGGCGAAAGCCUGAUCCAGCAAUGCCGAGUGAGUGAUGAAGGCCUUAGGGUUGUAAAGCCCUUUUACCCGGGAUGAUGAUGACAGUACCGGGAGAAUAAGCUCCGGCUAACUCCGUG